GUCCACACGGUAAACGAUGGAUACUAGCUGUAAUGGGAUUCGACCCCUAUUGUGGCGCAGCAAACGCAAUAAGUAUCCCGCCUGGGGAGUAUGGCCGCAAGGUUGAAACUCAAAGGAAUUGACGGGGACCCCGCACAAGCGGUGGAGGAUGUGGUUUAAUUCGACGCAACGCGAAGAACCUUACCAAGACUUGACAUCCUUGAGAUCCUGUAGAAAUACGGGAGUGCUCGAAAGAGAAUCAAGAGACAGGUGGUGCAUGGCUGUCGU
Molecule: ribosomal RNA, 267 nt
Filed under: uncultured bacterium
Lineage: Bacteria
Description: partial 16S ribosomal RNA
Rfam family: Bacterial small subunit ribosomal RNA
Source: RNAcentral